RNAcentral lists this unclassified non-coding RNA (243 nucleotides) under Hevea brasiliensis (rubber tree). Lineage: Eukaryota; Viridiplantae; Streptophyta; Magnoliopsida; Malpighiales; Euphorbiaceae. The record is from RNAcentral.
GCCAAAAAAAAAAAGAAAAAAUCUUUCCACAAUAUUCCAAUUUAUAGUAUUAGUCUCCUCAUUUUUUAUCUAAUUAAGAAUCUAACUCAAUUUAGGAAUAACAUAGAUAUUUUGAAAUAAAAUUUUCCAACUCAAAUUAUGUAAAGAUCCUACUAGUAUUUUGAGCUAUAAAUGAACAAAUGUAUAAACAAAUUUACAUAGCAUAAUUAAAGAAUGAAUUUCACAAUCAGCACUCAGCAGUUG